ACGGAAGGCGCAGUGGGGAAUAUUGCACAAUGGGCGCAAGCCUGAUGCAGCGAUGCCGCGUGAGGGAAGAAGGUUUUCGGAUUAUAAACCUCUGUCAUCGGGGACGAUAAUGACUGUACCCGAGAAGGAAGCUCCGGCGAACUACGUGCCAGCAGCCGCGGUAAUACGUAGGGAGCGAGCGUUAUCCGGAAUUACUGGGUGUAAAGGGAGUGUAGGCGGGACUGUAAGUCAGAUGUGAAAUAUGCCGGCUCAACUGGCAGACUGCAUUUGAAACUGCGGUUCUUGAGUGAAGUAGAGGUAAGCGGAAUUCCUAGUGUAGCGGUGAAAUGCGUAGAUAUUAGGAGGAACAUCAGUGGCGAAGGCGGCUUACUGGGCUUUAACUGACGCUGAGGCUCGAAAGCGUGGGGAGCAAACAGGAUUAGAUACCCUGGUA
This 433-nucleotide ribosomal RNA is filed under the name uncultured Ruminococcus sp. RNAcentral's name for it is "partial 16S ribosomal RNA". It matches the Rfam family "Bacterial small subunit ribosomal RNA", at positions 341 to 792 of the family's 1533-position model. The record is from RNAcentral. Lineage: Bacteria; Bacillati; Bacillota; Clostridia; Eubacteriales; Oscillospiraceae.